RNAcentral lists this ribosomal RNA (497 nucleotides) under uncultured bacterium. RNAcentral's name for it is "partial 16S ribosomal RNA". It matches the Rfam family "Bacterial small subunit ribosomal RNA", at positions 28 to 507 of the family's 1533-position model. The record is from RNAcentral.
GAUGAACGCUGGCGGCGUGCCUAAUACAUGCAAGUCGAGCGAACGGACGAGAAGCUCGCUUCUCUGCUGUUAGCGGCGGACGGGCGAGUAACAAGUGGAUAACCUACUUCUAUGACUGGGAUAACUUCGGGAAACAGGUGCUACUACCAGAUCAUAUUUUGAACCGCAUGGUUCAAAAGUGAAUGACGGUCUUGCUGUCACUUAUAGCUGGAUCCGCGCUGCAUUAGCUAGUUGGUAAGGUAACGGCUUACCAAGGCAACGAUGCAUAGCUGACCUGAGAGGGUGAUCAGCCACACUGGAACUGAGACACGGUCCAGACUCCUACGGGAGGCAGCAGUAGGGAAUCUUCCGCAAUGGGCGAAAGCCUGACGGAGCAACGCCGCGUGAGUGAUGAAGGUCUUCGGAUCGUAAAACUCUGUUAUUAGGGAAGAACAGAUGUGGAAUUAACUGUGCACAUCUUGACGGUACCUAAUCAGAAAGCCACGGCUAACUUCGUG